RNAcentral lists this ribosomal RNA (500 nucleotides) under uncultured bacterium. RNAcentral describes it as "partial 16S ribosomal RNA". It matches the Rfam family "Bacterial small subunit ribosomal RNA", at positions 30 to 523 of the family's 1533-position model. The record is from RNAcentral.
AUUGAACGCUGGCGGCAUGCCUUACACAUGCAAGUCGAACGGCAGCACGGGAGCAAUCCUGGUGGCGAGUGGCGAACGGGUGAGUAAAGUAUCGGAACGUGCCCAGUCGUGGGGGAUAACGUAGCGAAAGUUACGCUAAUACCGCAUACGAUCUAUGGAUGAAAGCGGGGGAUCGCAAGACCUCGCGCGAUUGGAGCGGCCGAUAUCAGAUUAGGUAGUUGGUGGGGUAAAGGCUCACCAAGCCGACGAUCUGUAGCUGGUCUGAGAGGACGACCAGCCACACUGGGACUGAGACACGGCCCAGACUCCUACGGGAGGCAGCAGUGGGGAAUUUUGGACAAUGGGCGAAAGCCUGAUCCAGCCAUGCCGCGUGCAGGAUGAAGGCCUUCGGGUUGUAAACUGCUUUUGUACGGAACGAAAAGGUUUGGCCUAAUAAGCUGAGCUCAUGACGGUACCGUAAGAAUAAGCACCGGCUAACUUCGUGCCAGCAGCCGCCGCGG